UCGGCUUAGAGUUUGAUCAUGGCUCACAUUGAACGCUGGCGGCAGGCUUAACACAUGCAAGUCCAACGGUAAAGUAGCUUGCUACUUACGAGUGGCGGACGGGUGAGUAACGUAUGGGAAUUUACCGAAUGGAGGGGGACAACAGUUGGAAACGGCUGCUAAUACCGCAUAACGUCGAGAGACCAAAGGGUUUCGACUUGCCAUUUGAUGAGCCCAUAUGAGAUUAGCUAGUUGGUGUGGUAAUGGCUCACCAAGGCGACGAUCUCUAGCUGGUUUGAGAGGAUGACCAGCCACACUGGGACUGAGACACGGCCCACACUCCUACGGGAGGCAGCAGUGGGGAAUAUUGCACAAUGGGGGGAACCCUGAUGCAGCCAUGCCGCGUGUAUGAAGAAGGCCUUAGGGUUGUAAAGUACUUUCGUGGAGGAGGAAGGGUUUACGUAAUCGUGGACAUUGACGUUACUCCAAGAAGAAGCACCGGCUAACUCCGUGCCAGCAGCCGCGGUAAUACGGAGGGUGCGAGCGUUAAUCGGAAUGACUGGGCGUAAAGGGCAUGUACGC
This 561-nucleotide ribosomal RNA is filed under the name uncultured Enterobacteriaceae bacterium. RNAcentral's name for it is "bacterial SSU rRNA". It matches the Rfam family "Bacterial small subunit ribosomal RNA", at positions 1 to 576 of the family's 1533-position model. The record is from RNAcentral. Lineage: Bacteria; Pseudomonadati; Pseudomonadota; Gammaproteobacteria; Enterobacterales; Enterobacteriaceae.